AUGCAUUUUUCUCUGUUAGACAUGCAAAGGAAAUAUUAUCUGAUCUACAGCAACCAGCCAUUGAAACCCCGAGCUGGAGACACCCAACAGAUGGGACCCAUAGAGACGGGAGGAACUACCAUAAGAGACCCCCUCCCUUCCCCGAAGUGUCCUGUAGUGGGCCGGUGCGGACAUCUGUCAGGGUCCCCAGACAGAUGGUCUCAGCUGCUAUGAACUUUCUAAUUAAGAGAAAGUACCUGACUUGGUCUAGCAGAUAAUUGACCUCAGUUGGAGCCAGGGGCACUGUUAGCUAAUGGAAGGCAAAUCCGCUACCUGGGGAAAUGGCUGUGUUCACACUAAUCCUCUGGCCUGCAGACUCAGGCCUGAUUUAAUAGGGGCGCUGAGGGGAUAGGGCAUUGUCCACACUGCCUGUCAAGAGCACAGCAACACAUGAGACAGGCUGUGCUGUCUGUCUCUCCAUCUCUAUUAACAGCAGCACCGUACAUUUUUCAUUCAUGAGGAGAACUGUAUAGUGAGGCAGGGAUGCUGUGGCUGUCGGUCCCGCAGUGGUCUUGUUUAGUUAUUUUUAUGUAUUUUACCCUUUUUAUGGUGGGGGGAGGGCUGGGGGGGGGUUAUGGGAUUGUUUAAGAACACACACACACACACACACACAUCUUUUUCUUUUCUUUUCUUUAUUUUAUUAUUUAUUUUUUUUUUAUUAAGAGUUUAAUUUUGCUUGGUUGCAGAUAGCAAAAAAAUAGCUCUACAUUAAGCAUCGACAUCAAGCAUCUGUCUUUCACAUUGGACCACUGGCAGAACGUCAUUGCAUGUUAUUAAAAUUCAUAAACUGAUAAAGUUUUAAAAUAGAACAUGGUGCUGGUACUAUCAUAGGUUAAAUUCCCAAUGAAAGCACAAAUUGAAAAAAAAAAUGUAUACGUUAAAUUUAACGCAAUUUGCUUUGGAUAAAAGCAUCUCUAAAAUGCAUGAACGUUUAAAUUUACUUCGCAUUUUAAAGUACUCAGAGUAUAGUUUAAAUAAAUAAAUAAAAUAUACAGAACAUAUAUAUAUAUAUAUAUAUAUAUAUAUAUAUAUAUAUAUAUAUAUAUAUAUAUAAUGUCUUCUAAAAAAAUUUUAUUUGUUUAUUUAUUUUUAUAUUUAUGUACAAAUUUUUGGUAUUUUUCCAAUCAGAAAUGAAUAGGUUACUGUUGUAACUGGUAUUUUUCAUUUACUGCCACAAGUUGCUGAUAGAACAGUGAAAUACAAUGCAACAGAUGACAAUGCACAAAACACAUCUUAUGUCUUUGUGCCAUCGAUUCCCUGGAGACAAGCUACAACACAGUGAUUAUACAAUGAUUGAGAGCAGAGAUUAUUCACAUUAAAUGUAUACAUUUACAUUUGCAGGGGUUUAAGUUAGCCAGAGUGACUGCGUUAAUCAUUAAGAGGGCUAAUUCAGUUAACUCAGAUACUUAUAGAAUUUCCUGCAUCUUGUUUGAGUCAGUGCUUAUUUUGUGCGCCUACACAGCUGCCAAUAUAAACAUUCACUGAACUGGGACGUCCUAACGAACAGUCUCAUGCCUGUAAUUAGCAUUUGAUGGGGGGAAACAUGUCGAAUCAUGACUUAAUUAAUGGCCAUGGUAAACAAGGCAGACAAUGACAUGUUUCAGCAAUCAACCGACAAUCUUUCUGCAGUACACACGAGUGGGGGUGGCUUGUCCCAUUACUGCAUAGUGUGACAGCUUAAAAAACAGAGAUUCUAGCAUACCAUGGAUAUUUUAUAAGCCACAUUUGUACAGGGAUAUUUUUACAUAGCCAGUUUAAUAAAAAAAUAAAAAAAAUAAAUGAGAGAUAAUUUAUGACUGGAGUCAGCAUAAUAUUAAAAACAGAUGCUUUAUGGAAAUCUGUGUUAUUUAUUUAUUUAAUAAUGGCUACUAAUACUAGACUCUUCAUAAACUGACCUUUUUAUUUUACUUUAUUUCUGGUUAUGUACGAGCCACAUGAUUUGAGGCAUCAUUUAUUUCUGUAAUCCAAACAGUGUGAGUGGGGUGAGUUAAUGCACCAGAUUAAAUAUGUUUGGUUAGAAGUGUGUUCAAAUCACAUUUGCUACAUCAUACUGCAGUAAACCUUUAUAACAGCAGUCCAAAAGUCAGCUGUGAUUCCCGAGUGUGGCUUUAUGGCAUUCUCUACCACGGUUAACCUUUAAUUGCUGAGAGGUGAUAAAGUGGACAGCCAUCACUAUAUAUGUAAAUAAGUGACAUUUCAUUCCAUGCCUGCUCAUGUGUGACCUCAACAAUGUGCCCAGCAUGGAACAUGUCGGAGAUAUUGCUGGAAUAAAGGGGUCAGGAUCUCAAUUAACCUCGCUCAUUUAGGAGACAGCAUUCCUCUUACUCAUCAUUCCCUCAAGUCUGCUUGCAUGAGGGACAGACAUUGACAGACUCUGUCAAUGAUGAGCUUAAAUCCGAGUUUAAAACAACAGUCUUGUAAUCUGGUUGUCUUAUUAACCUGAGGUGCAGUAGGAACGCCAUCCAACCUCAAACAUUUUAACCUCAGACAGGUGUGCUAUUACUUUUCCAAACAAUCAGACAACACUUUGUCAUAAAACAAGUGGAAAAAGGGAACCAAGCUAUGUUUAGAAAGCAGAAUACCAUAACAACUUGGGAUGGGACUUUUUUGACUUGGAAUAGUUCACCCAAAAAUAAAAGUUUGCUGAAAAUGUACUCACUCUCAAGCCAUGCAAGAUGAGCUUGUUUUUUCAUUGAAACAAAUUUGGAGAAAUUUAGCAGUACAUAAUUUAAGAGUCCAAACAGCUGAUAAAAAAAUCACAAAUCACCAUUUAGGCUAAAAUAUGAGGAGUCCUCUAUCCAUGAAUAAAAAAAUAAAUAAAAAUAAAAUAAAAAUAAAUAUCUUGUCUGAAUCAGGAGAUAAAUAUGCACAGAUCAAGCAGUCAAUAAGCAAAAACAGUCACACUCGCUAUUAACAAACCAUUAACUACGACUUUUGACUCAAUAAACUCCUAAUUUUGAAUGCUUAUUAUUAGUUAGUAAUGCAGUUGUUAAGUUUAGUAUUGGGUAGGAUUAUGUAUGUAGAAUAUGGUCAUGCAGAAUAUGUGUUUUAUAAGUACUAAUAAACUGCCAAUAUGUUAAUAAUAGGCAUGCUAAUAAGCAACUAUUUAUUAGUGAGAACUGGUCCCUAGUUACAGGGAAAACAAGUCCAAAACAGUUCUAAUCAAAUAUGUUGGUGGAUUCCGAUGUGAGUGGACAAAAGGGGAUGGACUUUUUCAGUGGAUGAAGUGGUAUUAUGGAUUAUGGAUUUUGGUCAGAAGUGACUGUUUAAUGUUAAAAUGCCUAAAUAAUGGAUUUGUUUCUUACAAACAUGCAGCUUUUCACUUUACAAGACAGUAAUUGGUGGACUGGAGUGGUGUGGAUUAGUUUGAUGUUUUUUAUCAGUCGUUUGGACUCUCAUUCUGAUGGCACCCAUUCACUGCAGACGGUCCAUUGGUGAUCGAUGUAAUGCUAAAUUUCUCCAAAUCUGUUCAGAUGAAGAAUAACUCAUCAACAUCUUUGAUGGCCUGAGUGUGAGAACAUUUUUCAGGAUUUUUUAAUUUUUUUAUUUUUGGGGUGAACUGCUCCUUUAAACAACCUCCCAGAACACUUUAGUAACUGGGUAUCAAUGUGUAAAAAAAAUAAUUAUCUAAACUCUUUAGCAACAACCUGGUAACUGCACAUAAACAUUAAGCAUCAGUAGAGAGUUUUUCCACAGACAACCACUCACAUUUUAUUCAGAAAAUGUAACAAACCUAGUUAAUGAAGAGGCAGAGUCUUCUAAGUCCUAUACCGAGUCUUUCAGCAUUUAAUCAGACAGAUAGGCAGCUAGUUAGUCUCAUUUUGCAGAACCUGUGGUGGAUGUCUGGGCCGCAAUCUGUGAUCAACUCCAAUCGUCGCCUGCCUGUUUAAUUGAAGGCAGAGGUGAGGGUUUUUUUUUUUUGUUUUGUUUUUUUUUUCGCAGACAGACAGGUGUGUGUAAUUAUUUCAGCUUGUCAGCUCUCAUCCUGUCUAUCUGUCAGCCCCUGUAAGACAUCCAGUGCUGCAGGGAUCAGGGAGACACUGAGCCGGGAUACAGGGAUGAAAGAACGGAGAUCUGGACAGAGGAGAAACUGGAGGUCAGAGGAGAGAGAGUGAAGGAGGCAAUCGCUCCUCUUGCCACGGUGAACCUGAUUUGCUGCCUGCCUCUUCAUGCUCUCUCCUUCCAUCAGUACUGUUGGGUGAAUGUUACAAAGGACUCUUAGGCUUAUAUAUA
Long non-coding RNA from Cyprinus carpio carpio, 4272 nucleotides. Lineage: Eukaryota; Metazoa; Chordata; Actinopteri; Cypriniformes; Cyprinidae. The record is from Ensembl.